This 590-nucleotide long non-coding RNA is filed under the name Amborella trichopoda. Its description in RNAcentral is "long non-coding RNA (ATRI_LNC000738)". The record is from RNAcentral. Lineage: Eukaryota; Viridiplantae; Streptophyta; Magnoliopsida; Amborellales; Amborellaceae.
CUUAGGUGGUUAAUUCAAUCAAUAGUAAUAGGGACGAUUCAAUCAUUCAAGUCUAGGAAUGGCAAGUCUUCCUAAGUUUCAUCUCGUGCGGUUGGUUCAAGUUCUGAUUCUGAUUUGUGCCUGGCUGGAAUCUUCCUUUCCCAGCCUCCAAUUAGAAACCUUUCUGGAAGAAGGGGUUUAAGUGGUGCCCUCUUGUUCAACCUCCGCUAUCGGGAGGAUCUUAUGCAUGUCAUGAACAAGAGAAAAAAAACCAGGGCAACAAACUACUGUUCAUAAAGACUAGUAUUCAAGAUAAGUAAGGAAGUCCUUUCCCCCAUGGAAAGUUUUGCAUGCAUGCAUUCUACCCCAGAACUAGAUUUCAAUCUCAACAAAGAAAGAUCUUAAAGCAUCUUAAAGCAUAAAUACCUCUUUUCCUCUUACUCUUGUAGCCUUGUGGAGGUCUCUCAGUUGUCAACGGCAGAUCCGAUCAGUCUCGUGAUGAAGAGAAGUCUUCUCCGAUCUUCAACUAAGAAACGUCACGACCAGGUCUCGGGGCUCCCACAGCUUGGUCUCUCUUCAUCUAGCAAACUACAGCUCAAAAGCAAGAAGCA